CAGGGAUGGUGAAACCGGCAGUAAAUGUCACCGUAGCAAUCAACACCGAAGCGAUCCCGAGAUUAUGUUUCUCGAUUUCUGGACAAAUCCACAUGUUUCUCGAUUUCUUUAGCCCCGUUGCUGGCUGAUUUUUCUUUGACCCUAUCAUCGCCGGAUGGUUUCUCUAAUUUGGCCUCAUCGCUGGAUAAUUCGACCCUUUUUAAAUCAUGCAAUUCUCGUGGACCGGAGUUAGCCUCUAUUAAAGCCAAGCAGCUAGCAAAUCAGUAUUCUGCAUUCUACAGUACAAGAAUAAUUUUAGAACAUAAAAAGAG
This 311-nucleotide long non-coding RNA is filed under the name Elaeis guineensis (African oil palm). Its description in RNAcentral is "long non-coding RNA (EGUI_LNC076889)". Lineage: Eukaryota; Viridiplantae; Streptophyta; Magnoliopsida; Arecales; Arecaceae. The record is from RNAcentral.